Molecule: transfer RNA, 71 nt
Filed under: Marmota monax (woodchuck)
Lineage: Eukaryota; Metazoa; Chordata; Mammalia; Rodentia; Sciuridae
Description: tRNA.Ala
Rfam family: tRNA
About the family: Transfer RNA (tRNA) molecules are approximately 80 nucleotides in length.
Source: RNAcentral
GGGGUUGUGGCUCAGUGGAAGAGUGCUUGCCUAGCAGGCAUGAGGCACUGGGUUUGAUCCUCAGCACCACA